RNAcentral lists this ribosomal RNA (485 nucleotides) under uncultured bacterium. Its description in RNAcentral is "bacterial SSU rRNA". It matches the Rfam family "Bacterial small subunit ribosomal RNA", at positions 29 to 507 of the family's 1533-position model. The record is from RNAcentral.
AUUGAACGCUAGCGGCAUGCCUUACACAUGCAAGUCGAACGGCAGCACGGGGGCAACCCUGGUGGCGAGUGGCGAACGGGUGAGUAAUGCAUCGGAACGUGCCCAUCGAUGGGGGAUAACUGCGCGAAAGCGUUGCUAAUACCGCAUACGACCUACGGGUGAAAGCAGGGGACCGCAAGGCCUUGCGUCGAUGGAGCGGCCGAUGCCGGAUUAGCUAGUUGGUGAGGUAAAGCUCACCAAGGCGACGAUCCGUAGCUGGUCUGAGAGGACGACCCAGCCACGACUGGGACUGAGACACGGCCCAGACUCCUACGGGAGGCAGCAGUGGGGAAUCUUGGACAAUGGGCGAAAGCCUGAUCCAGCAAUGCCGCGUGUGGGAAGAAGGCCUUCGGGUUGUAAACCACUUUUGGCGGGAAAGAAAUGGUCUGUGCUAAUACCACGGAUUGAUGACGGUACCCGCAGAAUAAGCACCGGCUAACUACGUG